RNAcentral lists this transfer RNA (73 nucleotides) under Stegodyphus mimosarum. It matches the Rfam family "tRNA". From Rfam's summary of the family: Transfer RNA (tRNA) molecules are approximately 80 nucleotides in length. Their secondary structure includes four short double-helical elements and three loops (D, anti-codon, and T loops). Further hydrogen bonds mediate the characteristic L-shaped molecular structure. tRNAs have two regions of fundamental functional importance: the anti-codon, which is responsible for specific mRNA codon recognition, and the 3' end, to which the tRNAs corresponding amino acid is attached (by aminoacyl-tRNA synthetases). tRNAs cope with the degeneracy of the genetic code in two manners: having more than one tRNA (with a specific anti-codon) for a particular amino acid; and 'wobble' base-pairing, i.e. permitting non-standard base-pairing at the 3rd anti-codon position. The record is from Rfam by way of RNAcentral. Lineage: Eukaryota; Metazoa; Arthropoda; Arachnida; Araneae; Eresidae.
GCCUUCGUGGUGUAGUGGUCAGCACGCUGAGCGCCUAUUCCAGAGGUCCGUGGUUCGAGUCCCGGCGAAGGCG